AUACGUAGGGGGCGAGCGUUGUCCGGAAUGAUUGGGCGUAAAGGGCGCGUAGGCGGCGCGGUAAGUCUGGAGUGAAAGUCCUGCUUUCAAGGUGGGAAUUGCUUUGGAUACUGCCGCGCUUGAGUGCAGGAGAGGUUAUCGGAAUUCCCGGUGUAGCGGUGAAAUGCGUAGAGAUCGGGAGGAACACCAGUGGCGAAGGCGGGUAACUGGACUGCAACUGACGCUGAGGCGCGAAAGUGUGGGGAGCAAACAGUAUUAGAUACCCUGGUAGUCCACACUGUAAACGAUGAAUGCUAGGUGUAAGAGGUAUCGACCCCUUUUGUGCCGGAGUCAACACAAUAAGCAUUCCGCCUGGGGAGUACGGCCGCAAGGUUGAAACUCAAAUGAAUUGACGGGG
Molecule: ribosomal RNA, 397 nt
Filed under: uncultured bacterium
Lineage: Bacteria
Description: partial 16S ribosomal RNA
Rfam family: Bacterial small subunit ribosomal RNA
Source: RNAcentral